This 238-nucleotide long non-coding RNA is filed under the name Setaria italica (foxtail millet). RNAcentral's name for it is "long non-coding RNA (SITA_LNC004630)". The record is from RNAcentral. Lineage: Eukaryota; Viridiplantae; Streptophyta; Magnoliopsida; Poales; Poaceae.
CAACCCUCCGGAACGAAUCCUCACGCGAGACGACGGGCGGCGGUGCGAGCUAGCGGCGCGUGAGGCGACGAGACGGCGGUGCGAGGUGGCGGCACGGCACAGCCCAGACGGCGACCCUCUCCGCCACCUUCUCACCGGUAAGGCGCCGUCCUAUCUUCCUUCCCCUCUCCUGUCCUCGUAUUCUUGUUCUUGAUGUUGCCGAGUUGAGAUCCGUAGCGAGUUCUUGAUGGCCGCGCUU